GAAGGUAUAGCUCAGCGGCAGAGUGCAUGCUUGCCAUGCAUGAGGUCCUGGGUUCCAUCCCCAGUACCUCUA
This 72-nucleotide transfer RNA is filed under the name Camelus bactrianus (Bactrian camel). It matches the Rfam family "tRNA". From Rfam's summary of the family: Transfer RNA (tRNA) molecules are approximately 80 nucleotides in length. RNAcentral also lists the same sequence under 2 other names. Lineage: Eukaryota; Metazoa; Chordata; Mammalia; Artiodactyla; Camelidae. The record is from Rfam by way of RNAcentral.